Long non-coding RNA from Uloborus diversus, 2544 nucleotides. RefSeq lists it as uncharacterized. The record is from RefSeq and is a predicted model, not a curated record. Lineage: Eukaryota; Metazoa; Arthropoda; Arachnida; Araneae; Uloboridae. The transcript has 3 exons.
CAGCCUGUUCCAGUUCGAAGUAACCCUCAAAAUAAUGGCUUUGGGACCCCUCAAGCAUCUUGGAAUAGGACGGUCAUUGUAGAACAGGUACCUAGGAGAAAUGGACAUAUUUCUGAUCAUGGAGAAUUGGCCAGUAUUACCAAGUCCAGCUAUGGUGAAUAUCUCAGCAUGUAGAAGUUCAGGUUCAGCCCGUGUGAAUAACUUGCUGCAUAUGGCUGGAAAUCUGGGAAAAGCCGUGGGCACCCUAGUCACAGUCAUGACGGAUGACGAAGAGGCCAGCGGUUCCGAUGAUGACCUCAAACAAUGACCCUGCAUUUAAUUUGAAUCUUCAUCGUAAUCAUCUGGGAAAAGACUGCCAGUGCUUCACUUUUUUUCGCCAAUCUUUUUGUACCGAAGUCAUGUUACCUCGUUCAUUUACCAUCAAGGAGGGAAGAAGUCAGACAUAUCAUGUUAUACCAUUGCCUGGACAUCAUUUUGUAUUGCCUUAGUCUUUGCACAAGGAUGGCUCUCUGUAGACAUGAUGGGGAAUAGUAUUUUUUUAUAUUGUUGUCAGAGUCACUUUGCGUUUGUUUGUGUAGCAGGUGAAUCAAAUAGGAGUUCAGUCAGCUCCUUGGAAGGUUUUUCCCGAUUUCUGAAAGAUUUAUUGUUAGAGAAAUUGAAUAUUUUAAAGUUUUCUAUGUUGUGUAUUUCUUUUGACCAUGUUGGUCGAUCAUAUCAAGACUGAUAGAAACUUUAAUCACUUGUCAGUUCAAUAUAUUUGAAAGAUUUUAUUUGAGGAAAUGACGGAAAAUGUAAUUUUAAGAAAAACUGAAUAAGGUUUUGGGUGAUAAGUAACUUUUUGAAGGAAGUAAAACAUUUGAUGAAUGUUGAAUAUAAUAUUCACUGAGCAUCUCCGGUGAAAAAUUGCAUGACUUCCAUUUACUUUUUUAGAUAAAUUGAAAAAUCUUGUUGACCAAAACCUUUUAAGAAAGUAAUUUCUUAUAUAUAUCAGCGGCGCCAUUGAAGAUAAGAUAAAAAAGUAUAAAGCUUGCCUAAAUGAAACGUGAUAAUUAGAAAUGCGAGCUUUGAGAGUAAUAUGUUGGACCACGUAAAGGUGUACUGUACAAAGAGUAGAGUUUGCUUUUAAUGAAAGCAGAACUUUCAAGUGGUUAAAGUUACAAAAUAAAAUUAUGAGAGAAAGACUUUGUAUAAAAAUAAAAUUUAUUUAGAUUCUCAUAAAGUAGAUAUUAUUUUUGUUUAAAAGAUCAAAUAAUGUAUAUUUGCAAUAUUUUGUUGCUGAUGAAAGUAUGAUUGAUUUAUGUACUUCAAACGUUGCAUCUGUAAAAAAUAACGUCGUGUUCAUUUUUUUUUUAUUUAAAGGAUAAGUGUUUCAUUUGUAAUUGAUGGAUGCAUUUGUAAAUUAUGUUCAUAGUUUUGACCAAUAUAGUCCAUAACGGGAAAUCAUCAUAUGUUCUUUUAAAGGAGAAACUUAAAGGGCCAUAUUGUGUUAACAGGAAUUGCUAUAAUCUUCUAUGAUCAAAAGAGUAUUUCGCACAAUUUCAUUUAUUGUUACUUUAGAGUUUUAAAUAUGCAGAAAUAGUUUGGAAUAAAUAUUUUAUUUUGUACUCGUUUCACUCCAGAGCCUGUGAAACAAAAUGUCGUUAAGUUUAAACAAAGCUUAAUUUCCUUGCCAAUCAUUUUCCCUUUGGCUGUUUUUCCAAUCCUUAAAUUUUAUUUUACUAACUAAAUUCCAGGGGACUAUGGUUUUUGGAUUGUGUUAUGAGUUAUCAAAGCUGUUGCUGGUGUGAAAACCAUAGCAAUAAAUGCUCAUUGCAAAACCAAGAACAGUAAUUUGUGACUGUUGCAGUCUAAAUUUGCUUUUUUAUUAUGUUUUUGAACUUUUAAUGAUUGAGUUUCUGUCACUGCCACAUACUGAACAAUUUCUUUUUUUUCCCUCUCAUAUACGUUGUUUUCAGUUCAUUAGAGAUCUCCAUUGAAGAGUCGUAUAAAGCAUGUGCCCACAAUAUUUUGUGUUAAUGAAAGGAAUUAUAGUAAAACAGUCUAACUAUCUCUGUGUAUUUAAAAACGAUGAUUCAUCCAGUUGAAUUGCUUGAAUAAUGACAAAAUAACAUUUCCAUUUAACAUAAUCAUUACAUAGUUUUCAUUAAGCUUUUAAUUACAAAAAUGUAAUUUUGAAAAAAAAAUCCAUUUAAUGAAAACUAAAAAGUUUGCCUUACAUUGAAGGAAUUCAACUGUAUAUGUCAUAAACUGAACUGAAUUUAAUACCAUAAUGAUAUUUAUUAAUUGUUAAUAAUGAAAAUUUUUCCUUGCAUCAUAGUCAUGUGAAAAACUCAGAUUUAAUUAUUGGUUCAAAAUAUUAGAAUAAAAUCAUCCAAGUUGAAAAGUAAUUUUCUAUUGUGCUACAAAAAAUUCUUCAAAACUCCAAAGAUUAUUGUGUGACAUGUCUUAGCAUGUACCAUUUUUGUACUAUAAAUGAAUAUGUCUUUACACUUAAGGAUAAGUGGAAAUGUCUGAAUCAAUUUGCAGCAAUAAAUGAGAAAUUUA